CCUACGGGUGGCAGCAGUGAGGAAUAUUGGUCAAUGGGCUUAAGCCUGAACCAGCCAAGUCGCGUGAGGGAAGACUGCCCUAUGGGUUGUAAACCUCUUUUGUCAGGGAGCAACGCCGGCUACGUGUAGCCGGACUGAGAGUCCCGGAAGAAAAAGCAUCGGCUAACUCCGGGCCAGCAGCCGCGGUAAUACGGGGGAUGCGAGCGUUAUCCGGAUUUAUUGGGUUUAAAGGGUGCGUAGGCGGGAUGCCAAGUCAGCGGGAAAAUCGGGGGGCUCAACCCCGCUCCGCCGUUGAACCUGGCGUUCUUGAGUGGGCGAGAAGUAUGCGGAAUGCGUGGUGUAGCGGUGAAAUGCAUAGAUAUCACGCAGAACUCCGAUUGCGAAGGCAGCAUACCGGCGCCCAACUGACGCUGAAGCACGAAAGCGUGGGUAUCGAACAGGAUUAGAUACCCGGGUAGUC
This 460-nucleotide ribosomal RNA is filed under the name uncultured bacterium. Its description in RNAcentral is "partial 16S ribosomal RNA". It matches the Rfam family "Bacterial small subunit ribosomal RNA", at positions 338 to 795 of the family's 1533-position model. The record is from RNAcentral.